GCGCCCCGAGCGCCCGGCCGCUCGAAUGAGAGCGAGACAGCCGGGCCGUUGCCAAGAGACCGGGCGGGUUCUGACGCGCGGAGGCCGAGGGAGCUGUCGCCCGGGAGACGGGGAGGCGGGUCUGGAAAAGGAUGAGGAUAAAACAGAUGUGGGAGACACACAGUCCUGCAGAGCUGGGAAUUGGCCUGGAGUUUCUAAUCAAGGCUCUAAUAUUGACUUGCUUUGUGACCUUGGGCAGAUCUCUCCAUCUCUGUACCACACUGUAACAGGGUAAUAAUAUGUACAGACCUCAAAGGAUAUUAUGAAGAUCAGUUAAUGCUUUCAGAGACUCACAUGAAAAACAUGGUACUGUUUACUACUAUUGUUAUUAUUAAGCUAACACUCAAUUCUCAAUGGAGCUCCAGAGAAGGACAUGACGCAUAAACAGCCCAUACAAAGGCAACUGUAUGUGAACAGUGCCCCAGGAGUUAUAAAAAAUAUUACAUUAAUAAUGGUUCCUUUGCUGGAGUGGGAUUUUCCUCCCCUUAAUUAUAGUUGCUGAUAUUUUUUUUAAUUGAAUAAUUGUUUUCAACUAGCAAACAGAACUGAUAUUUUCCAGAGAAUACUUAGGAAUGACAGGCUCAAAGUUAGCAUAUCAAAAAAAGAUCAUUUAAAAAAUUACGAUUUAUGUCUCCCCCAAUGGGAAGCUGAAAGCUAGAAUUUAUAGAAAAAUUGAGCUCCUUGUGCAAAAAGCUGACUCUUCUUUGCCUGACACCUUGUAAGGGGUGGAGGCCAAAUGAGUGCAAAACGCACUCUUUUCCUCCUAUGUGCAAGAGGAAAAUCAAGCUGUCUGAGGACAUUCUGACUACUUCUAACUGGGCUGAGGAGCACUGCUGUAAAGCGUGCCCCAUCCACUUGCUCCCCCACCCUGCACAAAAAUACAUGACUUAGCUACAACUUGAGUGCAGCUGGGCAUGCACCAGUAAGUAUGCUCAGAUUUCCUGGUUAGUGUGACAGUUAUACCAGCAUAAAGGUGAUUGAACUGGUGGAGUUCAUUCCUGUGCAAUACCUGUGCAAGCCCUGUAUUGCUUUCAGGGCUGCUUUAACUCUGAUACAGUCUCUUGGUGCAGAGGAAAAUCCCCAUGAGGAGGAUGCCAGGAGACACCUAAGCCAUGGGAGGCGUAAUUCCAAUGAGGGAAUAGGGAUUCUAGGAACGAGGGCAUGCCUCAGUACAGAGGCCCAGGCUCUUCUCAAGGAUGCUCCUGGGGUUUUCCUGGCAAUAGAACUAGUAGCUUUUCAUUCAAUCUCUCCCCCUUAGGGGAAUGUCUUGGUGAAAGCCCCUGGGGUAGUCCUCCCUCCCCAGCUUGCCCACAGAAAGGAGUGAGCCAUUCUCAAACUGUUUAGUUAAAUGGCUUCCAAAGCACUUUGCAAGGAUUGCAACCUGCCUCUCACAGAAAGGAAGAAAGACUAAAACCAGUUUCAUUAUGGCCAGGCUCCCCUAGAGGCAGCCUAGCUUGUUACUGUAGGGUUGGUUAGUCUUUAUUCCCAUUCAUAAGUUCCUCAUUAAAAAAACUCGAAGCUAUCAAUAUAUUUGUUUUGAAAAUAAACUGUUUCCAGGGGUGGCAGGGGAAACGGUGCUGAAGUCAACAGGGUUUUGCCCGCUAACAUCAAAGCAGAAAUUGGUCCAUGAAGUAUAAGUAUUACAUGGAUUUUCUUUAUGGAGAUUUAGAGAACUUGGAUAAAUUACAAGGAAAGAAAAAUUAAGUAAAUAAGUAAAAUUUAGGUUAGUCUUUUAUAAAGUCACAGGAAAUCACUGGAUUAAAUGAAUGAAUAUCUAUUUAUUGUACAACCAAAGGGCCUCUUUGAAAUUACAUCAUAGGAUGUACUUGUUCCAUUCCAAUUAUUUUAAAUUUUUUUUUAAUUUAAAUGCUGUCAUCUGCUUACUGAGGCACUGUGAACUUAUUCUAAAAUAUAUUUUAUGCUACUGGAAUGUCACUGGUCUCUGUGUUGUAUAAUUAUCACCACAACAACUGUCUUUGUUAUGGUUGCUUAUGACAUUUCAUAAUGGUGCGAUGACAUAAUGCUCUUAACGUAUCCUGCACGAGAAACUCUUCAGAGCAUAAAACAGGGCUGUGCAACUUCUAUGAGGUAGGGGGCUACAUGCCACACAGGCCACGCCACUGUUGCACCAUGUCUGCAAGAAACCCAGCUUCACCCUCAACUCCUUGGCCACAGGCUCCCCUGCUGCACUGCACUGCAGAGGUACCCCAGAAUGUGGGCUACCUUGACAACGUGGGCUGCACCACCCCACCCCACUCUGCCCUGGAGUGGGGCAGAAGUUGGAAGCCAGAGAAGGGAGGAGGAACCCAGAGACCACAGCUGCUGCUGCAACCACAGCAGUGGCAAUGGGGAGAGCAACAACUGGGUGGGAGCCUAGGGACUGCAAAUUAACACCUCACCAGCCACAUGCAGCCCAUGAAGUCUUAUUUGGACAGCACUGCUUUUGAACAAUCUUCAGCCUUAGUCCUAAGAGUCAUAAAAUAACUGUAUUUAAUGAACACUAGUAGGUAAAUUGGGACUUCAGGUUUGUGGGGGGACUCCAGGUUACAAUAUUUAAAGCUCCUAGAAAUGGUUUACAUUUCUUUUCCUGAUGUCUGCCUGUACAUAAACCAAAAAUAAAGACAUUUCCCAUCCCAAA
This is a long non-coding RNA of Alligator mississippiensis (American alligator), 2677 nucleotides long. RefSeq lists it as uncharacterized. NCBI's taxonomy places the organism in Eukaryota, Metazoa, Chordata, Crocodylia, Alligatoridae. The record is from RefSeq and is a predicted model, not a curated record. The transcript has 2 exons.